This 253-nucleotide ribosomal RNA is filed under the name uncultured bacterium. RNAcentral's name for it is "partial 16S ribosomal RNA". It matches the Rfam family "Bacterial small subunit ribosomal RNA", at positions 524 to 776 of the family's 1533-position model. The record is from RNAcentral.
UACGUAGGGGGCUAGCGUUGUUCGGAAUUACUGGGCGUAAAGCGCGCGCAGGCGGUUUUCCAAGUCAGUGGUGAAAGCCCGGAGCUCAACUCCGGAAAUGCCAUUGAAACUGCAAAACUUGAGUACGAGAGAGGUGAGUGGAAUUCCCAGUGUAGAGGUGAAAUUCGUAGAUAUUGGGAAGAACACCGGUGGCGAAGGCGGCUCACUGGCUCGUAACUGACGCUCAGGCGCGAUAGCGUGGGGAUCAAACAGG